UACAGAGGGUGCAAGCGUUGUUCGGAAUUACUGGGCGUAAAGGGCUCGUAGGCGGCCAACUAAGUCAGACGUGAAAUCCCUCGGCUUAACCGGGGAACUGCGUCUGAUACUGGUUGGCUUGAGUGUGGGAGAGGGAUGCGGAAUUCCCGGUGUAGUGGUGAAAUGCGUAGAUAUCGGGAGGAACACCAGUGGCGAAGGCGGCAUCCUGGCCAUGUCCUGACGCUCAGGGGCGAAAGCGUGGGGAGCAAACCGG
RNAcentral lists this ribosomal RNA (253 nucleotides) under uncultured bacterium. RNAcentral's name for it is "partial 16S ribosomal RNA". It matches the Rfam family "Bacterial small subunit ribosomal RNA", at positions 524 to 776 of the family's 1533-position model. The record is from RNAcentral.